UGGGGAAUUUUGGACAAUGGGCGCAAGCCUGAUCCAGCCAUGCCGCGUGCGGGAAGAAGGCCUUCGGGUUGUAAACCGCUUUUGUCAGGGAAGAAAUCUUCUGAGUUAAUACCUCGGGAGGAUGACGGUACCUGAAGAAUAAGCACCGGCUAACUACGUGCCGGCAGCCGCGGUAAUACGUAGGGUGCAAGCGUUAAUCGGAAUUACUGGGCGUAAAGCGUGCGCAGGCGGUUUUGUAAGACAGAGGUGAAAUCCCCGGGCUCAACCUGGGAACUGCCUUUGUGACUGCAAGGCUUGAGUGCGGCAGAGGGGGGAUGGAAUUCCGCGUGUAGCAGUGAAAUGCGUAGAUAUGCGGAGGAACACCGAUGGCGAAGGCAAUCCCCUGGGCCUGCACUGACGCUCAUGCACGAAAGCGUGGGGAGCAAACAGGAUUAGAUACCCUGGUAGUCCACGCCCUAAAACGAUGUCAACUGGUUGUUGGGAAGGUUCCUUCUCAGUAACGUAGCUAACGCGUGAAGUUGACCGCCUGGGGAGUACGGCCGC
This 543-nucleotide ribosomal RNA is filed under the name uncultured bacterium. RNAcentral's name for it is "partial 16S ribosomal RNA". It matches the Rfam family "Bacterial small subunit ribosomal RNA", at positions 355 to 889 of the family's 1533-position model. The record is from RNAcentral.